Brachypodium distachyon (stiff brome) is the source of this 135-nucleotide non-coding RNA. NCBI's taxonomy places the organism in Eukaryota, Viridiplantae, Streptophyta, Magnoliopsida, Poales, Poaceae. The record is from Rfam.
UUAAUACUUCCUUCGUCCAACAAAGGAUGUUUCAACUUUGACCAAAUUUGAAUGCAUCUAUACACUAAGUCAUAUAUAGAUACAUUCAAAUUUUGACAAACUUGAAACAUCUUUUGUUGGACGGAGAAAUAUUCA